ACUACAUGAAGCUGGAAUCGCUAGUAAUCGCAGGUCAGCAUACUGCGGUGAAUACGUUCCCGGGUCUUGUACACACCGCCCGUCACACCAUGGGAGCCGGAAAUGCCCGAAGCCUGUGAGCUAACUUUUAGAGGCAGCAGUCGAAGGUAGAAUCAAUGAUUGGGGUGAAGUCGUAACAAGGUAUC
Molecule: ribosomal RNA, 185 nt
Filed under: uncultured bacterium
Lineage: Bacteria
Description: partial 16S ribosomal RNA
Rfam family: Bacterial small subunit ribosomal RNA
Source: RNAcentral